Molecule: ribosomal RNA, 323 nt
Filed under: uncultured eukaryote
Lineage: Eukaryota
Description: partial 18S ribosomal RNA
Rfam family: Eukaryotic small subunit ribosomal RNA
Source: RNAcentral
CCCCUAGAUGUUCUGGGCCGCACGCGCGCUACACUGAUGCAUGCAACGAGUUCUAUCCUUGGCCGGAAGGCCUGGGUAAUCUGUGAACGUGCAUCGUGAUAGGGAUAGAUUAUUGCAAUUAUUAAUCUUGAACGAGGAAUUCCUAGUAAACGCAAGUCAUCAGCUUGCAUUGAUUACGUCCCUGCCCUUUGUACACACCGCCCGUCGCACCUACCGAUCGAAGGUAAUGAUGAGCCCUCAGGAUUGUGGCCUCGUCGCGUCAGCGUCUUGGCUGCGAGAAUCUGUGCAAAUCCCUACCUUUAGAGGAAGGUGAAGUCGUAACA